Molecule: ribosomal RNA, 256 nt
Filed under: uncultured bacterium
Lineage: Bacteria
Description: partial 16S ribosomal RNA
Rfam family: Bacterial small subunit ribosomal RNA
Source: RNAcentral
UACGAAGGGUGCAAGCGUUACUCGGAAUUACUGGGCGUAAAGCGUGCGCAGGCGGUCUGUUAAGACCGAUGUGAAAUCCCCGGGCUUAACCUGGGAACUGCAUUGGUGACUGGCAGGCUUUGAGUGUGGCAGAGGGAGGUAGAAUUCCACGUGUAGCAGUGAAAUGCGUAGAUAUGUGGAGGAAUACCGAUGGCGAAGGCAGCCCCCUGGGAUAACACUGACGCUCAUGGCACGAAAAGCGUGGGGAGCAAACAGG